UGGGGAAUUGUUCGCAAUGGGCGCAAGCCUGAUCCAGCCAUGCCGCGUGUGUGAAGAAGGCCUUCGGGUUGUAAAGCACUUUUGUUGGGGAAGAAAAGCAUCCGGUUAAUACCCGGGUGUUAUGACGGUACCCAAAGAAUAAGCACCGGCUAACUUCGUGCCAGCAGCCGCGGUAAUACGAAGGGUGCAAGCGUUACUCGGAAUUACUGGGCGUAAAGCGUGCGUAGGUGGUCUGUUAAGUCUGAUGUGGAAGCCCCGGGCUCAACCUGGGAAUGGCAUUGGAUACUGGCAGUCUAGAGUGCGGUAGAGGGUAGUGGAAUUCCCGGUGUAGCAGUGAAAUGCGUAGAUAUCGGGAGGAACAUCCGUGGCGAAGGCGACUACCUGGACCAGCACUGACACUGAGGUACGAAAGCGUGGGGAGCAAA
This 425-nucleotide ribosomal RNA is filed under the name uncultured bacterium. Its description in RNAcentral is "bacterial SSU rRNA". It matches the Rfam family "Bacterial small subunit ribosomal RNA", at positions 355 to 772 of the family's 1533-position model. The record is from RNAcentral.